AGUCUAUUCACUUUUGUGGACAGGACAAUGUGGUGUUAGGGCAUGCACCUGGGAGAGCUUGCCUACUCGAAGUCCAUCUCCGAUUAUGGCUUUGACUUGGCCCAAAGCGGGUGAAAGGCCCGUACGGGUAGGCUGUGAUUUUAAGCUCUCCUUAGAUGUGUAUGCCUUCGAGUCGGAUUGCUUGAGAAUGCAGUCCAAAGUGGGUGGUAAACUCCAUCCAAGGCUAAAUACUGGCACGAGUCCGAUAGUAGACAAGUACCGUGAGGGAAAGUUGAAAAGUACUCUGAAGAGAGAGUAAAGAGCACGUGAAGCCGCUUGCAGGGAAGCUGGUGGAGUCAAGCUUCUUGUCUGGAGGAUUGUCGUCAGAGGGCUGUUGUUGCGGGACGUGACGCGGGUGAACCUGGAAACGGUUUGCUGCACCUAAAUGCAGUUCAAGUCGCCCCGGGCAGAGUGUUUGUGCCUGCGUCUAUCUCCCACCUCUGGUGCUUUAUUCUCCGUGACAUACAUCACGGUCAAUAGUGGUAAUUCUCGUACUGCGUGAGUGCUUAACCGUGCUUUGGUGGACUUAACCGUCUGCUGGGCAUGGAAUGGCAGAAGGCAUGUGCUGGUCUCGGCCAUCACUAUGCGUAUGCUGGUUUUGACCUGCUAGUGCUCAUGUUCAGUAUCGACCCUAUUGUUGUU
RNAcentral lists this ribosomal RNA (681 nucleotides) under Dactylogyrus anchoratus. RNAcentral's name for it is "LSU rRNA". It matches the Rfam family "Eukaryotic large subunit ribosomal RNA", at positions 118 to 617 of the family's 3401-position model. The record is from RNAcentral. Lineage: Eukaryota; Metazoa; Platyhelminthes; Monogenea; Dactylogyridea; Dactylogyridae.